GCCACCAGGGGUAAAGUUUUGACCGAGCGCACAUGUGGUGGCUGUUGGACUCUUUCGGGAGUCGAAAAACGAACAGAUUCUCUGGCUUCUAGGUAGCGAUUGUUCGCCUAGUACCUGUGAACAAUCCUACUGAACAGCGCUUUCCUAAGAUGUGAGGAAACAAAGCACCCUCCCUUCUCUUCUGGUUUCUAAAUUUGUGCAAAUGAGCAUUUUAAAACAUUCUUUUACUAACAUAAUGAUGAGAGGGAAAAUACAUCUGCUUCUUGACUUGGCUGCUCCCCACUUAAAGAGCAUACAUUAAAC
Non-coding RNA from Pelobates cultripes (western spadefoot toad), 303 nucleotides. The record is from the annotation of a GenBank genome assembly. NCBI's taxonomy places the organism in Eukaryota, Metazoa, Chordata, Amphibia, Anura, Pelobatidae.